AGCUGCGGCCCGCGUGCCCGGUGCAGGAUCCGGACGCCGCCGCCGCCCAACGCGCCGGAGUCGAGAGAGGGACGCCGCCGUGAUGAGCAAGCGCGGACCCCGAGCCCCGCAACGCGCAGCGGAGACGGCGGGCUGGGAUCCGCGACCCAAUCCCCUACGCCGCUACCGUGAGGAUGGCUAGCAUUUCUUUUCCUCAUUUGCUUUCUUAUUUCUUAUUUUUCUGAUUCUGGUAAUGGGGAUUCAUAUUUUUGUGAUUCUUACUUCCGUGAGGAUGAGGAUCCGGCGGGGAGGAAAGGAAGCUCGCCGCGCCGGACAGCGGGAGCGGCCGUAGUGGCUCCCAGCACCGGCGGACGAGGCCCCGAGGCCUCCUUGCCCGCCGCGGGUGGGCGAGCAACAGCGGAAGGACCUGCAGCUCGCCGCCGCCGCGAGAUCCGGCGGGGAUGACUUUUUGGAGAGCUUUCUCUUUAAGUCCACAAGAUUGAAAUUGGACAGUUUGGAGAGUCUCAUUCAACCUUAAAUCAGCUCCUAGGGUUUAAUUGAUGCAAGUCUUUGAGGCUUUGAGCCAGGGAGGGAGAAGAAAAUAAGAGGGGAGGCCUUUUUUGCCCCCUUUUAUACGAUGUACCAUCAUGUAUGACACUUGUAGCUGCGGAAUCCUGCAGGUGGUGGCAGUUGGGGACUCGAGCGCGCGAGGGAGGCGAAGGGAGCAGAUGCGGAUGGAGCGUGGGGGAUGAAUGUGGUUGUGUAGCAAUAGUUUGGCCUGGAACAAUGUAAUGGCUUUGUAUGUCUGAAAUUUAUAAGUAGCGUUAACACGAGCACACUUAUUAUCACACAUAAAUAUUACAUAUGUUGUUUUUUUUUA
Molecule: long non-coding RNA, 859 nt
Organism: Panicum virgatum (switchgrass)
Lineage: Eukaryota; Viridiplantae; Streptophyta; Magnoliopsida; Poales; Poaceae
Exons: 4
Source: RefSeq, a predicted model, not a curated record